AAUGAACGUUGGCGGCGUGGAUUAGGCAUGCAAGUCGCGCGACAAGGAACCUUCGGGUUCUGGAGGAGCGGCAAACGGGGUAGUAAGGCAUCGGAACGUACCCUCUUGUUGGGAAUAGCCGCGGGAAACUGCGAGUAAUGCCCAAUAAUCCCUACGGGGCAAAGGUCCGCCGCAGGAGGAGCGGCCGAUGUGAUACCAGCUGGUUGGUGAGGUAAUGGCUCACCAAGGCUUAGACGUCUAGGGGGUGUGAGAGCAUGGCCCCCACCACUGGGACGUGAGAUACUGCCCACGACACCUACGGGUGGGCUGCAGUCGAGAAUCUUCGGCGAAUAGGGCGGCAAGCCUGACCGAGCAACGCCGCGUGCGGGAGUGAAGGA
Molecule: ribosomal RNA, 377 nt
Filed under: uncultured bacterium
Lineage: Bacteria
Description: bacterial SSU rRNA
Rfam family: Bacterial small subunit ribosomal RNA
Source: RNAcentral